Molecule: ribosomal RNA, 498 nt
Filed under: uncultured bacterium
Lineage: Bacteria
Description: partial 16S ribosomal RNA
Rfam family: Bacterial small subunit ribosomal RNA
Source: RNAcentral
GACGAACGCUGGCGGCGUGCCUAAUACAUGCAAGUCGAGCGGACGAAUCGAAAGCUUGCUUUUGAUUCGUUAGCGGCGGACGGGUGAGUAACACGUGGGCAACCUGCCCUGUAGACGGGGAUAACACCGAGAAAUCGGUGCUAAUACCGGAUAACACGAAAUGUCGCAUGACGUUUCGUUGAAAGACGGCGCAAGCUGUCGCUACAGGAUGGGCCCGCGGCGCAUUAGCUAGUUGGUGAGGUAACGGCUCACCAAGGCGACGAUGCGUAGCCGACCUGAGAGGGUGAUCGGCCACACUGGAACUGAGACACGGCCCAGACUCCUACGGGAGGCAGCAGUAGGGAAUCUUCCGCAAUGGACGAAAGUCUGACGGAGCAACGCCGCGUGAGCGAAGAAGGCCUUCGGGUCGUAAAGCUCUGUUGUUAGGGAAGAACAAGUAACGCAGUAACUGGCGUUACCGUGACGGUACCUAACGAGAAAGCCACGGCUAACUACGUG